GAUGAACGCUGGCGGCGUGCCUAAUACAUGCAAGUCGAGCGAACAGACGAGGAGCUUGCUCCUCUGACGUUAGCGGCGGACGGGUGUGUAACACGUGGAUAACCUACCUAUAUGUCUGGGAUAACUUCGGGAAACCGGAGCUAAUACCGGAUAAUAUAUUGAACCGCAUGGUUCAAUAGUGAAAGACGGUUUUGCUGUCACUUAUAGAUGGAUCCGCGCCGCAUUAGCUAGUUGGUAAGGUAACGGCUUACCAAGGCAACGAUGCGUAGCCGACCGGAGAGGGGGGUCGGCCACACGGGAGCUGGAACACGGACCAGACGCCUACGGGAGGCAGCAGUAGGGAAUGGUCCGCAAUAGGCGAAAGCCUUACGGAGCAGCGCCGCGUGAGUGAUGAAGGCCUUCGGAUCGUAAAAAUCUGUUAUGGGGGAAGAACAAAUGUGUAAGGAACUAUGCACGUCGUGACGGUACCUGAUCAGAAAGCCACGGCUAACUACGUG
Molecule: ribosomal RNA, 497 nt
Filed under: uncultured bacterium
Lineage: Bacteria
Description: partial 16S ribosomal RNA
Rfam family: Bacterial small subunit ribosomal RNA
Source: RNAcentral